CUGGUCGGAUGGACAGUCUGGAAUCCAUGGCCGCCGAAUCCUCACCGCUGUCCCCUGAGUUGAGGAACAGGAACAAACGGAAGGAGACUACACAUUAUCAACGGGCAAGUCUUCGUCGCUACACAACACACACACAAUCUAGCUUGGCUUACCUGGAUUUCUGCGUACCGCCCGUCCUCGUUGCAUUCGGGAAUGAACGUCUCGCCAGUAGGCGCCGCCUUUUUUCCCAGUCCGCUAGCACCGGUUCCUGCUUGCUGCGUUUCCCCAUCCAGGAGGAUGACCGUCCGGCAGGUUGAAUAGGAGCUGAAAAACACCGAAGGAAGAACACCUGGGUUCCCCUCCUCCCCAAGAAGAGGGAAGAAAAAAAAAACUUUUUCUUCUUCUCACACAAGGCACCCGGCACCGCACCGGCAACAUCUACUACUAC
Long non-coding RNA from Daphnia carinata, 427 nucleotides. RefSeq lists it as uncharacterized. Lineage: Eukaryota; Metazoa; Arthropoda; Branchiopoda; Diplostraca; Daphniidae. The record is from RefSeq and is a predicted model, not a curated record. The transcript has 3 exons.